Molecule: long non-coding RNA, 908 nt
Organism: Cygnus olor (mute swan)
Lineage: Eukaryota; Metazoa; Chordata; Aves; Anseriformes; Anatidae
Exons: 5
Source: RefSeq, a predicted model, not a curated record
CUGUGCUUUGAAUAUAAAAUUCUCCAGAGUUUUUCCCACUUCUCAAGGGUUUCCUUCUUCUCCGGUGGGAGGAUUAGAUUUUUUUUUUUUUUUUUUCCCCAACCAUAUUUAAGAAGUGACAAACCCAAAAUACUUUUGCAUCCAAGAGUAUGCAUAUCACUGCUUUGCAGUUACAUUUGCAUUACAUUUCUGGCAAUGGUCAUGAAUGGCUGGCAUCAGCUAUGACUCAUUAUUCAUUCCUCGAAGGACUUGCCAUAUCAGCAAGAGGCAAAAAAAAUAAUGUUCAAUUUCAUAUUGUUUCUUCUGAGACACAGAUACACCACAGGCAGUAUUGCUGGAGGAAACAGCUGGGAAUUGGAAAAGAAAGCUUGUUCAAAUAGAAGACAGACAGCUGGUAACCACACUGGACAGUAAUUGCCACUGUAAUGGAGCCACUUCUGAAAAAUGAAAUGUGGGUAGUCACCUGACAUAUACCAACUCAGACCCAGGAGAUAAAAUUCAGCAAGUUUGGAAUCACCUGAGAGCAUGACCUUAUUAUGGGAAAUAUGAGCUGAGUCCUUGAGAAGAUGGAGACAUAGGAUGUGGUGUAGAGGAAUACAGCUGGAAGCCCCAAGGCUAUAAACAGCUCAACUAUGAUCAGUUAAAGAAAUUUUGAUCAGGAGUGGGACCAAACUGGAUUUAAGGAUAGCAAAGGAAAAAGAAGCCAUCACCAUCAACUUUAUACUUCUUCCGAUGAAGGACAUGUGAAGCUGUCAACUUGUAGAAGCCCACUUACCUGCUCCCCAGCCCCAACCAGAUGGAAGCCAUGAACUCAAGGGCCUGGAUGUCAUUGGAAUGGUGAAUAAUACCAGAAAAAAAGACUAGAAGACAGGGAUUGUUUGUGUAACAUUCUGAACCAUUUUAUUAUU